This is an RNA transcript of Equus quagga, 7531 nucleotides long. It is a transcript of the gene named Rho associated coiled-coil containing protein kinase 2, with no coding region annotated. The transcript has 37 exons. Lineage: Eukaryota; Metazoa; Chordata; Mammalia; Perissodactyla; Equidae. The record is from RefSeq and is a predicted model, not a curated record.
GGGGGCGCGCGCCGGCGGCCGCGGGCCGAGGGGCUUGUGGGUAGCGGCGGCGCGCGGCCGGAGACGGGCGCCGCGCGGGAGUGCGUGAGGGGAGCGGGCUGGUGGGUCUGCGGCGGCCGGCGGCGGUCAUGGGAGCGGGCUGCCGGCGGCCGUAGGUGUCCGAUCCUGGACUUCAGCCUCUCGAAGCCCACAGGGCGGGGCGGGCCGGGCCGGGCGGUGGCGGCGGCGCUUCCCCGCUCCCGCCCUCAGAGUCCUGAGGGAGCUCCCGGCGGACGAGCGGACCCGGCGGCGCGAAUCUGACUGAGGGGCGGGGACGCCGCCUGCUCCUCGCCGCUCCCGGCCGCGCCGGGCCGGCCCCUCGGACAGCCUCAGGCCCCGGCCUCGCGCCGAGACUCGAAGCCACAGCUCGAAGCGGGCGGUGGGCCCGGGCGGAGCCCCGCCCGGAGCCAUCGGUUCGGGAGCGGCGCUAGGCCCCGAGGCGGCCGGGCCGGAGCCCGGGGAGCGGGAGUGCGGCCCGGCGGCGGCGGCAUGAGCCGGCCCGCGCCGACGGGGAAAAUGCCCGGCGCCCCCGAGGCCGUGCCCGGGGACGGGGCGGGCGCGAGCCGCCAGAGGAAGCUGGAGGCGCUCAUCCGAGACCCGCGCUCGCCCAUCAACGUGGAGAGCCUGCUGACUGCUACCCCAGACUACCAAGAGGGUUUUUGGGAACAUACUGUAAAGAUUUAUGUACUUAUUGUACCAUUCAAAAUCCCCCAAAUUCUGAAUUUGGAAGCAUCUUGCCCCAAGGAUGGCUUAAAUUCUUUGGUCCUUGAUUUGGAUUUUCCUGCUUUGAGGAAAAAUAAGAAUAUAGAUAAUUUCUUAAAUAGAUAUGAGAAAAUUGUGAAAAAAAUCAGAGGUCUACAGAUGAAGGCAGAAGACUAUGAUGUUGUAAAAGUUAUUGGAAGAGGUGCUUUUGGUGAAGUCCAGUUGGUUCGUCACAAGGCAUCACAGAAGGUUUAUGCUAUGAAGCUUCUUAGUAAGUUUGAAAUGAUAAAGAGAUCAGAUUCUGCUUUUUUCUGGGAAGAAAGAGAUAUUAUGGCCUUUGCCAACAGUCCCUGGGUGGUUCAGCUCUUUUGUGCCUUUCAAGAUGAUAAAUAUCUGUACAUGGUAAUGGAAUACAUGCCUGGUGGAGACCUUGUAAAUCUUAUGAGUAACUAUGAUGUACCUGAAAAAUGGGCCAAGUUUUAUACUGCUGAAGUUGUUCUUGCUCUGGAUGCCAUACACUCCAUGGGUUUAAUUCACAGAGAUGUGAAGCCUGACAACAUGCUCUUGGAUAAACAUGGACAUCUAAAAUUAGCAGAUUUUGGCACAUGUAUGAAGAUGGAUGAAACAGGCAUGGUGCAUUGUGAUACAGCAGUUGGAACACCUGAUUAUAUAUCACCUGAGGUUCUGAAAUCACAAGGGGGUGAUGGUUACUAUGGGAGAGAAUGUGAUUGGUGGUCUGUGGGUGUUUUCCUUUUUGAGAUGCUAGUGGGUGAUACUCCAUUUUAUGCAGAUUCGCUUGUAGGAACAUACAGCAAAAUUAUGGAUCAUAAAAACUCACUAUGUUUCCCUGAAGAUGCAGAAAUUUCUAAACAUGCGAAGAAUCUCAUCUGUGCCUUCUUAACAGAUAGGGAGGUACGGCUUGGGAGAAAUGGGGUAGAAGAAAUCAAACAACAUCCUUUCUUUAAGAAUGAUCAAUGGAAUUGGGAUAACAUAAGAGAGACGGCAGCUCCUGUAGUACCUGAACUCAGCAGUGACAUAGAUAGCAGCAAUUUUGACGACAUUGAAGAUGAUAAAGGAGAUGUAGAAACCUUCCCAAUUCCUAAAGCGUUUGUGGGAAAUCAGCUGCCUUUCAUAGGAUUUACCUACUAUAGAGAAAAUUUGUUAUUAAGUGACUCUCCAUCUUGUAGAGAAAAUGAUUCAAUACAAUCAAGGAAAAAUGAAGAGAGUCAAGAGAUUCAGAAAAAACUGGACACAUUAGAAGAACACCUUAGCACUGAGAUGCAAGCCAAAGAGGAACUAGAGCAGAAGUGCAAAUCUGUUAAUAUUCGCCUAGAGAAGGCAGCAAAGGAACUAGAAGAAGAGAUUACCUUAAGGAAAAAUGUGGAAUCAGCAUUGAGACAAUUAGAAAGAGAAAAAGCACUUCUUCAGCACAAAAAUGCAGAAUAUCAGCGGAAAGCUGAUCAUGAAGCAGACAAGAAACGAAAUUUGGAAAAUGAUGUUAACAGUUUAAAAGAUCAACUUGAAGAUUUGAAAAAAAGAAAUCAGAACUCUCAAAUAUCUACAGAGAAAGUGAAUCAACUCCAGAGACAACUGGAUGAAACCAAUGCUUUGCUGCGGACAGAAUCUGAUACUGCAGCCCGGUUAAGAAAAACCCAGGCAGAAAGUUCAAAGCAGAUUCAGCAGCUGGAAUCGAACAAUAGAGAUCUACAAGAUAAAAAUUGCCUGCUGGAGACUGCCAAGUUAAAACUUGAAAAGGAAUUUAUCAAUCUUCAGUCAGUUCUAGAAUCUGAAAGGAGGGACCGAACCCAUGGAUCAGAGAUAAUUAAUGAUUUACAAGGUAGAAUAUCUGGCCUAGAAGAAGAUUUAAAGAAUGGCAAAAUCUUAUUAGCAAAAGUAGAGCUGGAGAAGAGACAACUACAGGAGAGAUUUACUGAUUUGGAAAAGGAAAAGAAUAACAUGGAAAUAGAUAUGACAUACCAACUAAAAGUUAUACAGCAGACCUUAGAACAAGAAGAAGCUGAACAUAAGGCUACAAAAGCACGGCUGGCAGAUAAAAAUAAGAUUUAUGAAUCCAUUGAAGAAGCUAAAUCGGAAGCCAUGAAAGAAAUGGAGAAAAAGCUCUUGGAGGAAAGGACUUUAAAACAGAAAGUGGAGAACCUGUUGCUAGAAGCUGAGAAAAGAUGCUCUAUAUUAGACUGUGACUUCAAACAGUCACAGCAGAAAAUCAAUGAACUCCUUAAACAGAAAGAUGUGCUAAAUGAGGAUGUUAGAAACUUGACAUUAAAAAUAGAACAGGAAACUCAGAAGCGCUGCCUCACACAAAAUGACUUGAAGAUGCAAACACAGCAAGUUAACACACUAAAGAUGUCAGAAAAGCAGUUAAAACAAGAGAAUAAUCACCUCAUGGAAAUGAAAAUGAGCUUGGAAAAACAGAAUGCUGAACUUCGAAAAGAGCGUCAAGAUGCGGAUGGGCAAAUGAAAGAGCUCCAAGAUCAGCUUGAAGCAGAGCAGUAUUUCUCAACCCUCUAUAAAACACAGGUUAGGGAACUUAAAGAAGAAUGUGAAGAAAAGACCAAACUUUGUAAAGAAUUACAGCAGAAGAAGCAGGAAUUACAGGAUGAAAGGGACUCCUUGGCUGCUCAACUGGAGAUCACCUUGACCAAAGCAGAUUCUGAGCAGCUGGCUCGUUCAAUUGCUGAAGAACAAUAUUCUGAUUUGGAAAAAGAGAAAAUCAUGAAAGAGCUGGAGAUCAAAGAGAUGAUGGCUAGACACAAACAGGAACUCACUGAAAAAGAUGCUACAAUUGCAUCUCUUGAAGAAACUAAUAGGACACUAACUAGUGAUGUUGCCAAUCUUGCAAAUGAGAAAGAAGAAUUAAAUAACAAAUUGAAAGAUGCCCAAGAGCAACUAUCAAGGUUGAAAGAUGAAGAGAUAAGUGCAGCAGCUAUUAAAGCACAAUUUGAGAAGCAGCUGUUAACAGAGAGAACACUCAAAACUCAAGCUGUGAAUAAGUUGGCUGAGAUCAUGAAUCGAAAAGAACCUGUCAAGCGUGGUAGUGACACAGAUGUGCGGAGAAAAGAGAAGGAGAAUAGAAAACUUCAUAUGGAACUUAAAUCUGAACGUGAAAAAUUGACCCAGCAGAUGAUCAAGUAUCAGAAAGAACUGAAUGAGAUGCAGGCUCAAAUAGCUGAAGAGAGCCAGAUUCGAAUUGAACUACAGAUGACACUGGACAGUAAAGACAGUGACAUUGAGCAGCUGCGGUCACAGCUCCAGGCCUUGCAUAUUGGUCUGGAUAGUUCCAGUAUAGGCAGUGGACCAGGGGAUGCUGAGGCAGAUGAUGGGUUUCCAGUUCAUAUCACUCAAUCACACACUAUGGAAUCCAUGUCAUUCACCUACCAGCGUUCCUCUACUUCUCUCAAUAUUGCCACUAAGCCUUCCAGUUCUCAUAUGCUCCUUGACUCUGAUUCUGACUCAGAAGAAGAAUCUUUGCCCUACUUACCUAUUUCAUCGGAACCUAAUGGUACAGAAUCAAGACUAGAAGGAUGGCUUUCGUUGCCAGUGCGAAACAACACUAAGAAAUUUGGAUGGGUUAAAAAGUAUGUGAUUGUAAGCAGUAAGAAGAUUCUUUUCUAUGACAGUGAACAAGAUAAAGAACAAUCUAAUCCUUACAUGGUUUUAGAUAUAGACAAGUUAUUUCAUGUCCGACCAGUUACGCAGACAGAUGUAUAUAGAGCAGAUGCUAAAGAAAUUCCAAGGAUAUUCCAGAUUCUGUAUGCUAAUGAAGGAGAAAGUAAGAAGGAACAAGAAUUUCCAGUGGAGCCAGUGGGAGAAAAAUCAAAUUAUAUUUGCCACAAGGGACAUGAAUUUAUUCCUACGCUCUAUCAUUUCCCAACCAACUGUGAAGCUUGUAUGAAGCCAUUGUGGCAUAUGUUUAAACCUCCUCCUGCUUUAGAGUGCCGUCGCUGCCAUAUUAAAUGUCAUAAAGAUCACAUGGACAAAAAGGAGGAGAUUAUAGCACCUUGCAAAGUUUAUUAUGACAUUUCAACGGCAAAGAAUCUAUUGUUAUUAGCAAAUUCUACAGAAGAGCAGCAAAAGUGGGUUAGUCGGUUGGUGAAAAAGAUACCUAAAAAGCCUCCAGCUCCGGACCCUUUUGCACGGUCAUCUCCUAGAACCUCAAUGAAGAUUCAACAAAACCAGUCUAUUAGGCGGCCGAGUCGACAGCUUGCCCCAAACAAACCAAGUUCUGGCCCUGCCCUUCGAAUCAUUCUUCAUUGAUUUUUUUAAUACAUUUUGCAUAGCAACAAUUGCUUGAUUUGGCAUUUAAAGACUGGGAUUGGUCAUUUGAUGAUAUUGAUGGUGAUGAUGAUGGAGAUGUUUUUGAUUUCUGAAGAAAUGGCUAACUGCCUUCUAUGAAUGCAGUCAUUAUUCAAGGUGAUCAUAUUCUUCCAGUUAAAACAAGACUGAAAUAUGAUGGCCCAAAAUUUAUGAAAAAGCUGUAUUUUCCUGAGAGACUGAUACACACACACACACACACACACACACACACACACAUAUACAUAUAUUUGUUCCCUUUAUUCCUGCAAUAUAAAUUAUAAAUCUUGGAGAGAUUUUCUGGGCUCCUUUGGAACAGCAAGUUGAACCAACAGUGAUUGGCUGAUAGAGUAAGAAUAUCAUAUGCAACUCUUCCAAACUCGUUCCAUAAAGCUCUCUUGGCAGUCACUCACACUACAUUGCACAAAAGGAUCGAGAAGAGUUAAAGAAAUCAUCUUUUCAGCUUCAACAGAGAGAUUUCACCAGCACAUUUACCAGAAAGAAUCUGGGAAUGGAUUCCACUACAGUGAUAUAGACUGCGUCUUUAAGAAGUGACCAUUAUACUGUGUGUGCAUGUGUAUAUAUAUACACACAUAUAUACACACACACACACAUAUAUAGUACUGUAAUACUGCAAGAGGGUUUUUUUAAACUUCCCACUUUAUUUUUUUACACACAUUAACCAGAUAUCAUUACUUACUGCAGUUGCAACUAUGCACUUGUAUAAAGCCAUAACGUUGGAGUUUAUCAUCACUCAUUUGUGUACCUGGUGGAAGCUGCAUGUUUGCGUUUAAGCAAUUACUGUAACAAUGAGUUUGAAGUUAAUUAUGUCGAUUUCCUAAUGCUUCAUAAUAGGCAACUUUACCCAUUUUGAAUGCCUUAAUUUAAUUUUUUUCAAAGUCUCAACCCUGUUCUGCAUUUUAAAAAAAAGAAGAGGUGUUUACCAGCUCUUAGGAUGCAAAUUUGCUUUGCAGAAUAAAAUUAGUGCGCUAUUUUUACACAUAAUAGUUAUCAAUGUCAGCCUAUUUUGAUUGUAUAACAAUUUUUUUUAAGUAUUGGUGAUAGAAACAAUAAUGGAUAGUAUUGGAAGUAAUAUAUCUUUUAUGUGUAUCUAUUACUCAUCCAACCCUUUUACAGACCUCAGUAUUAGUGUGCGACUCAGAAGCGUUUGCUUUGCUUUGAAUUUGCUGGCUAGCCUAGAUGUGUUUUUAUUUCUGGUAAAGACAUUUGUGACUAUUUUUACAUUUUUUCACACUCGAUUCAAAAAUUAUCUCAAAUACAAAACUAAAGACAUACUGUAGAUAUAUUUUAAAUAUUUAAAUGUGAUCCCUUAAACACACGACUGUGUAUGGCAAUAUUUCAGUAUUGGGUUAAGAAAACUGGUGACUGGGAAGAAGUGGCCUCAAAGGCACUUACCUUGAUUUUUAUUUUUUAAAUGCUAUUAUAGUUACAGUUUAUGCAGGACUAUUCCUGCUAUAUUUCCCGUUAUCCCAGAAAAAUGUAUGUUUUAUACUGCUUCAGUUAUGUAUCAAUGAUAAGCAUCGAGUAAGAAAAAUUAUGCAGUCUUUUAUCAGUCUCUGUAUACAUAGACAGAGUUUGGUGUGAUAUUGAAAUACAUCAUUAAUAUUUCAAUGAAGGAAGUAGACCUUUUUCAUUGAUUCCCUCUGGGGUCAGUGUAGAGAUAUUUAAAGAGUUAGGUCCCCAGUUAUAGAUACUCUUGUGGAAAUUGAAGAGUGGCUAUGGCCUACUGAUGUGCUGAAAGUGACUCUUGUUCUUACGUUAGCCAAUCUGCACUCUUCCAUGCUGUCUGUGCUAAAACUAGAUAUGCAUGCCAUUUCCCUUGCAGAUAUGUUCUGCAUUUCUGGUUUGGGGGCACAGCUGUUUUUUUUUUAAGAUUAAAAAAUGAAAAAUAUAUAAAAUUUAUAUAGAAUAAAUAUUUCCAUUCAUUAGACUUGUUAAAAGGAGACUGAAUUAAUAUUUUAUAUAAAGAUUUUGUUACACUAUGGGAGGUUCUAUCAUAUUAUCUGAAUUGGAGAGUAUAUAUAUAUAUUUUUAAUAAACUUUAUUAAGGUGAAAUAAUUUGAAGUUUACAUAUGAGUAAUUGAAAUAUUUGAGUAAAAAUGGCAAAACUUUAAAUUUUGAAUGCUGUAUAUAUUAGAGAAUAUGGAGAAUCAUGGUGUGAUGCAACUAUACAAGGAAAAUUAAUGUGAAGUUUUUUUGGGGGAAAAAAGAUAUUCUGAGGGGUGAAAAAAGUCUCUCCCAUGGAGAUUCUUCACAUUAUAUGGUUUGACUUAAGGGUUUAUAAGGUUGUUUGUUCGACUAAUGGAAAUUGCGCUUAAUAAAAAAUUCUGACCUUGGGUAAGAAUUUGCUUUUUACCCUGUUGCCGGUUUCAUGUACAUACAUGAGUGCAUGUACCUCUCCAAAUGUUCUCUUCCCAACCCUCAUUAAAUAUGAAAUUGACUUGGCUUAACAACCUGA